RNAcentral lists this ribosomal RNA (529 nucleotides) under uncultured fungus. Its description in RNAcentral is "SSU rRNA". It matches the Rfam family "Eukaryotic small subunit ribosomal RNA", at positions 289 to 821 of the family's 1831-position model. Lineage: Eukaryota; Fungi. The record is from RNAcentral.
GAUGGUUCAUUCAAAUUUCUGGCCCUAUCAACUUUCGAUGGUAGGAUAGUGGCCUACCAUGGUUUCAACGGGUAACGGGGAAUUAGGGUUCUAUUCCGGAGAGGGAGCCUGAGAAACGGGUACCACAUCCAAGGAAGGCAGCAGGCGCGCAAAUUACCCAAUCCCGACACGGGGAGGUAGUGACAAUAAAUACUGAUACAGGGCUCUUUUGGGUCUUGUAAUUGGAAUGAGUACAAUUUAAAUCCCUUAACGAGGAACAAUUGGAGGGCAAAGUCUGGUGCCAGCAGCCGCGGUAAUUCCAGCUCCAAUAGCGUAUAUUAAAGUUGUUGCAGUUAAAAAGCUCGUAGUUGAACCUUGGGCCUGGCUGGCCGGUCCGCCUCACCGCGUGCACUGGUCCGGCCGGGCCUUUCCUUCUGGGGAGCCGAUGCCCUUCACUGGGUGUGUCGGGGAACCAGGACUUUUACUUUGAACACAAAUUAGAGUGUUCAAAGCAGGCCUAUGCUCGAAUACAUUAGCAUGGAAUAAUAGA